This 4269-nucleotide unclassified non-coding RNA is filed under the name Eufriesea mexicana. Its description in RNAcentral is "histone-lysine N-methyltransferase, H3 lysine-79 specific, transcript variant X5". The record is from RNAcentral. Lineage: Eukaryota; Metazoa; Arthropoda; Insecta; Hymenoptera; Apidae.
AAGAAACUUGUAUCCGCGGUCGAAAGUUCAACGGUUCCCGACACGCAUGCGCAGUAAAGUAAGUUGGCGCGGAAUACCCGGAUGUGCUGCCGCACGAGCACGAUACGGUAGAAGGAAGAGGCAUGACGCCAUGUUUUGAUGUCGUCAUCCCCCCCAAACCUCUGUUUCUUGAGCAGCACAAUAGUCUGUCAGUGUUUUUCUGUUGUGCGCCUCGUGUUCCGUGUUCCUGGUGGCCGUUUUGGCGUGCUCCAUUCGCCCUCCCCUUCGUCGCGUCGAAGUUGGAUGCUUGCCUUUGAGGCUAACGCUUGUCCCUGUGGGUUGACGGUCGCUGAAGGUGGCCUUUCGUAUCUUUUCAUGUCCGGGGAAGUAACCGCGGAGCGGGGGGGGUCCGCGAGCGUCGUCUACGUGGUGGUAGUGUCCUAGUGCGGGGAGGACGAGCGACCACGAUCCUCCGCCGAACGGUUAAUCAAAGUGGUUACGUCACACAAUCCUGAGCUAGGCUUUCGAAAGAAACGCCUUACUAAAGAAGUGGACGGCGACGACGACGGGGACGAGGACGACGGCCCUGCUAAAAUGGAGCUGCGCCUGCACUCGCCAGCCGGAGCAGAACCGAUUGUCUAUCAAUGGCCCCUCACCUCCGGAUCCGGAUCUGAUCGUCAUGAUGGUGCACUUGAUGUCGUUGAAACAAUGAGAUGGGUUUGUGAGGAUUUGCCUGACUUAAAGCUACCGUUAGAAAAUAAUAUUUUGUGUGAUUAUGACACAAGAGAUUAUGAAAGUAUGAAAAAUUUGUGUGACAGAUUUAAUAGAGCAAUUGAUAGUUUAGUUCAGCUGGAGAAAGGCACUAGUUUACCAUCACAAAGGUUAAAUAAACGACCUAGUCGAGGUUUAUUAAGGCAUAUACUUCAGCAAACAUAUAAUCAAGCAGUAGUGGAACCAGAUAAGUUAAAUCAGUAUGAGCCCUUUUCACCAGAAGUAUAUGGAGAAACAAGUUAUGAGCUUGUAUGUCAAAUGAUCGAUCAGAUUGAUGUAACAGAUGAUGAUGUAUUUGUUGACUUGGGGUCUGGAGUUGGUCAAGUAGUUCUUCAAAUGGCUGCAGCAACUUUAUGUAAAAUUUGUAUUGGCGUUGAAAGAGCUGAUGUACCAUCAAGAUAUGCACAGAGUAUGGAAGUAAACUUUCGUAAAUGGUUGAAUUGGUAUGGAAAAAGAUGCGGCGAGUAUCGUUUGGUAAAAGGCGAUUUUUUAGCUGACGAACAUCGUGAAAGCAUUACUGGAGCUACAAUAGUAUUUGUCAAUAAUUUUGCAUUUGGUCCAACGGUGGAUCAUCAGUUAAAAGAAAGAUUUGCUGACUUACGAGAUGGUGCACGUAUCGUAUCAUCAAAGUCAUUUUGUCCCCUCAACUUUCGCAUCACGGAUAGAAAUCUCAGUGAUAUUGGCACAAUAAUGCAUGUUUCGGAAAUGUCACCGUUAAAGGGCUCUGUUUCGUGGACUGGUAAACCAGUGUCUUAUUAUCUACAUGUAAUUGAUCGUACCAAGUUAGAACGUUAUUUCCACCGCUUAAAGAAUAAUAAACAAGGUGGUGAUGAAAAUUCUGAUUCUGUGAUAAAUAACACUGCCAGCAGUAGUAAUAAGGUUACAAAUAGAGGUGAAAGAGGUGACAGAGCUAAACGAGAUCUUUCGAGGCAGUUGGAUAGCCCAAAUCAUUCAGAGCAACAGGGAACGAAUAGUGAUUCAGAUGCAGAUGAGAAUAAUAUUAAAAAUCGUCGGCAACCAAACAAGAUCCGUAGAAAGUUGAAUAGAAAAUCCAAUGGUAUAACAAGACCUCCAGCUAGGGGCGGCAAACAGAGAGGAAGAGGUGUAAAGAAAUCGAAACCCAAGAAAGCAAUUAAUAUUUCUGGCCUGGACUUACUACAUAGUCAAACAUUACUUAGCACAUCUCCACAAGCUUUAGGAAAGAAGCCACCGCCUGCGCCUGGUUGCGUGGAUCAACAACUGUCUUCAUUAUCACUUUCAUUACAGUCACAUUCCACCUCUGUACAUGAAGAACUUAGUAUACCACCUGCUCCGUCCGCCACUCCAUAUGCAUUACAAAUACUUUUGGAUUUAUUCAGGGACCAAUUCAUGCUCAUGUUAGAAUCAAUGAGAACUCCUUCAUACAGAGUAUCAGUCAAUACGGAUAUUGCAAAAGAAAGAGAAAGAAAUUCAAAGUUACAAUCGAGAGCGGCGCAAUUAGAAAAACAGAUAAAAGUAUUAAUUGAUGAUAGUGUAGCACUUUUAAAAGCAAGAAUGACAGAGUUAGGUAUAAAUGCAACAUCACCUGGAGAUUUACUUGCUAAAGCUAAGGAGAUAGUUCUUAGACACAAACAGUUACAAGCCAAAGCAAGUAAGUUACAAGCUCAAGUUGCAUCUAUGGAGAGUGAACAAUCGAGACUAACUGCGCUUAGACAUCAAGAAUUACAAGAAAAAUAUAGUAAUCUUACAAACACGAACGGCAUAUCAAACCCACCACAGCCACUUACUCAGGAUUACAUAUUGAAAGAAAUUUCCGCAACUUUGUCUCAACGUAAAAGAUUACAUUGCCAAGUGUCUAAAUUGGAACAAGAACUAAAUGUGUUGGAACGAGCAAGCAAUGAAAAACAGGUUGCUGCAAUAGCCCAGCAACAGAGAGAAGCAUUAAGCUCUAAACAUUCACAAAAUCAACAUCAUCAUCAGCAGCCAAAUGGGAAGAGUGGAUCGUCACGAAAAAAUAGAGAAGGGCGUUCUAGAUCGCAAGAAUGGCCUGACGUUCCUGAUAUCGGAAAGAUACAAGAAAACAAUCCAGAAAUAUUGGCGCAAAAGAUUUUGGAAACUGGCAGACAAAUAGAAGCUGGUCGAAUAUUAAAUAGACAAAAUACUAAUACCAGUAGUAAUUCUAGAACCAGAUUGCCACAAGCAUCUCUCAGUUUUUCUACUACUUCGUCAUCCAUUUCAUCCUCACAACCACAAAUAAAUAAUAAAGAGAUAACAAAUAGAACUCAGGAGCCUCCUAGGGUUGCAAAUUUCGAGGAUAGACUGAAGAGUAUUAUUACGAGUGUUUUAAAUGAAGAUCAACAAAAUAGAAAUAAACAACAACAAAUGCAACUACAGGUGCAAUUACAAAAUCAGACUGAGCCAGAUAGAAAACGUAUUGCAUUGCCGCAAAAUGUUUCUACUCCUGAUUAUACACAGGUUUCACCUGCGAAGUUAGCACUUCGUCGUCAUCUCUCUCAAGAACGUCUUUCUUCUCACUUAACACCAUCAGACAGGCCAACAAUCGAUUCAAGGCAAUCGACUCAUGACAAUCGUAUUGUAACGGGCGGAAAUGGACUGCUUGGUACUAGAACAAUUGGUGAUUUGGUCAGUGGAGAAAUAGAAAGAACAUUAGAAAUAUCCAAUCAAUCUAUAAUAAAUGCAGCUGUUGAUAUGAGCGCAAUGAUAAGGCCGGAAACUGUAUAUUCUCCUAUUAGUAGACCAGCUAGUGCAGAGGGUGAUGCUGGUUUAUCAACUCUCGCGCAUGUAGCAAGUUAUGCUCCAACUUCUUCUGCAGUUUCAACAUGUACUCCUACUACCACCUCCAGAUCAUCUGUAUUAUUUACUCCAGUAACACAACCACAAAGAUACACACCAGUUCAGUUACCUCGUGCAGAUAUCAAACCUUAUCAUGAAUCGUAUUUCUCUGACAAUCCUUCUCAGUCACUCACACAGGCUCAUCCUCCGCCAUCAUUGCAUUCAUCGCAGACAACAUCAAACGGCGAACUUUUACCCGUAGAAGGAUUAGCUGCAUCUUUACAUGCCCGUAUAUUAAAUAAUCACAAUACGAAAACCGAGCCAAUGCUGACUACGAAUAGAAGAUUUCAACCAUACCCUCGUUAUGCAACCAGUAGCAACAAUAAUGGCAGUGCAACAACAAAUGGUAUGGUGACAGCUAUUUGUCAAUCACAACCUUCAAUGUCAGUGAAAACAGAGGCAAUCGUAUCAUCAGUAAGCACGAGCGGAGCGCCAUUGAGUCCUCUCGUAGAACCACAUUCUAAUACGUCUACGCCACUAGUCGAUGAACCCCAGAUGACAACGCAGAGACAACGAAAUGGUAUUGGCGAUGACGCUUGUUUUAUUAGAGAUUGAGACACAUUCAGAGGGAGAAAUCAAAAAGUACGGCUGCCUGUGGGUUGGUUCGUGGUUGCUGACGGAGAGGCGGAUUGGCAAGACCGUAUCAGUUCUGGAUUCGAUAGACUGGUUGCCUUCGCAUCCACGGAG